Oryctolagus cuniculus (rabbit) is the source of this 16050-nucleotide non-coding RNA. NCBI's taxonomy places the organism in Eukaryota, Metazoa, Chordata, Mammalia, Lagomorpha, Leporidae. The record is from RefSeq and is a predicted model, not a curated record.
ACAUAUUUUAUAUACUCUUUAUGACUCUGUACUUGAUGCACUUUCAUCUUAAGAAAUAAAGAUAGAACAAGUCAACUUUAAAAUUGCUUUUCAUAACCUAUUUUCCUUAAACUACAUCUUCAUCCCUGUCCCAUCUAUAGGGUUCAAAGAUAGUUACUCUAAUCCUCAUUUCCAUUGGGCCUAACUCUUUAUUCACUUCAUACCAGAGAAGUGGUUGUUGGACUUUCUCAAUCUUGAGUUUAUCUAGUUUUGCUGUGAUUCCUGCCACAGAGUACGAAUUUUUGUUGUAAGGCUUCUAUAUAGACAUUUUAAUUCCUGGAACAACUCACAUCAGAAGAGGUUGAAUAUUUCCUUCUGUUUCUCUUGAAAAACAGUGGUCAUAGUGCCUGUGGCUUGUGAAGUUUUAUGGGAAGCUGUGAAGAGAGGCUGUAGUAUGAAAGGAUGCUGAUUAAAAUCCUACAUACAUUAUGUAUGAAUCUGCACUUUUUGUGACCUCCUCUCCUGGAACUGUCCCAAUCCAGAUUACCCCAGGCUGAGCUGUGAAACGCAGAAAACUGCAAACCUCUUUAAUUGGGGAAUUAGGAAGUUUCAAAACACCAGGGCAGGGAAGCUUGUCAAGGCUUUAAGUUUCACAAAUGUAUAAGCCAAGUUCUUGUGCAAAUGCCAUGCUCUACCCUGAGCAAGCAAGAGAGCUGCCACCACUACUGAGUAUGUCAGCCUGGAAACCUGUCAAGAGUAGGGAUUGAGGGCCCUUACAUUGCAGUCCUUAUGAACCCAGUGAAAUUAGGAAAAUUCUAAACGCAUGGAAUAGUGUUCUUUGAACUUAUAAAAGAUAGAUUUUCUACUUAUCAGCCUUAGCAAACACAAAUGAAGAGGUGUUUAAUAUAAAGAAAGGAUAGGAGAAACAUAGAGAGAACAGAUGCUUUUUUUCAGGCACAUUUAAAAUUUUCAGAACCAGCUGGUUUGGAAUUCUGGAAGAAGCUUUAAUCUUUUGAUCUGGUAAAAGGCAACUUGAAAGGUAUAGAGACAAAAAGGGCUGCAUGUCUUCUCUAAUAGCUGAAAGUUCCCAUUUGGUGACAAGGGGAUGGUUUAAAUCAGGCAAGGCAUGCAACAAUAAAUUACUGAACCACCCACAAUCUCUACUCAGCUUCCUGCGCCAGGAGUUCAGGCUGGCAGGUGCCCUUGCUCUCGGAGAACAACUCAGAGAAGGUCCAGCUAAGGUAGAGGUUUGGAAGUGGUAGUAGAGGCAGGGAAGCAAGGUGCCAAGGCUUGUUCCAUAUAAACAUGCCUCCCCACUUGGGGCAAUAGAGAACUUUCCUUGGAGACCUGAAUACAUAUGAAUCAAAGACAAACAUCAAAUCUCUGAGAAUACAAUUUGGAAAAACACAUUUUGGCUUUUCUACAGAUUCAAAGCAUAUCUGACCCAAUUCCUAACAUCAUUAUAUAUUCUGUAAUCAUUACCUGUCUGAAUUUUAUAUGCACUUUAUAUUCUGUUAUAGGCAUUAGCUUAGCAAAAGGAUUCAUGGAGAAAUUCAUUCCAUCUUUUUCUUCAGUAAUAAUUGCUGAAAAUGCCAGGUGUUCUACAAGGUGGUCAAGAGAAAAACUGAUCAACCCUGUUCCUCUCUGAAAUAAUUAAAAAUUUAGUGGCAAAAUCACAAACACAAAAAUAAUUAAGGGUUCUAGAUAAAUGUUAUUGACUCAUUCCUCAAAUCCUUUUAAAAUGAUAAUAAAGAAUUAGAGAUGUUAAGCCACAGGGGCAAAAAGUGUAGGAGAAGAGACAACAGUAAGUGAUCAAAGAAUUGGAAUAAAAGCAGAUAGUGAGGUGGCUUUAGAGGAAAAGGAGUAAUUACAACUCGAGAUCCUGCUGAGUUGAAAGGAUGGGAGAGAUUUGCCCACACAUUGUUACUAAUGCAUACUGGGGACUGAAUGAUAGGAACACUGGUCAUAGUUACUGACCCUACUUUAAAUUCAUGACCACCAGCCACUACUUGGAAAUUUUCAGUGCUGUUGGCCUUGGAUGGUGGCUAACUGUACACCAAAUGAAUUCCACUUAUUCUAGUCACAGUGGAGAAUGUAGGGAAGCAUAUGAGAAGGUUCUGUGAUUGGUUUGCAUGGCAGAAGGUACCUGGUUCUAUUUGUGUCUAAACUGAAGUCAUCUGAUUUGGUUUUCAUCUUCCAUUGUCCCCUGUGUUAGGCUUGGUUACAGCAAGGCUGAAAAAAGAAGAAAAGAAAGAAAGAAAGAAAGAAAGAAAGAAAGAAAGAAAGAAAGAAAGAAAGAAAGAAAGAAAGAAAGAAAGAAAGAAAGAAAGAAAGAAAGAAAGAAAGAAAGAAAGAAAGAAAGAAAGAAAGAAAGAAAGAAAGAAAGAAAGAAAGAAAGAAAGAAAGAGAAAGAAAGAGAGAAAGAGAGAAAGAAAGAGAGAGAAAGAAAGAGAGAAAGAAGGAACUGUGGAAAAACAUGCUUUCUUGUUUGCAUAAAAUAAUUAGCUGAGCACAAAUGGGAAGCAAACCAAAUAGUUAGGGAGUUCCUGUUGUUUGCCUCCUUUCCAAUUCUGGACUGUAGUUUCCAAAAGCAACAGGAAGGCAGUUUUGCCCCAAGAAUUUUCAAACCACAUAAACCACUCCAAAUUCCCUUUGAUAUGGCCCAGCUCUCCAAUGUUUUCCAAGAACUCAGCUCAGCUUGCUUUGCUUCUGGACGUCAUGAAGCACAGCAGGUCUAAAUGGAAAGGUAAGUUCUCAACCCCAUGAUCCCAUGGAAGCCUCUGAGCCCGUCAGAUAAAGGACCCAGAGUUAGUUUUACUUGGAAUUUUCCCUUGUAACCCCAACCAUAAAAUGUUGAGUUGUGCAACUAGAGCUGGUCAGUGGGUGGAGUUUCCAUUCCUGCUUUUUUUGGCUAAUUCAAUGAGAAACAGAUUCAAUAUUCACAGCUCUGCCCCCAGUCAUUUUUGCAGAAGCCAAAAUUUGUCAGGUUGUCCAUAGAGACACAUGUAAUUUUACCAAAUAUCUGUGGGAAACUUUCCAAAUAUGUAGAGGUGAUAUGAGCACCAGAUCCAAAUUGGCAUUAAAAUAUAUUUUUAUCAAUUAGUGUAUGUUUUCUUAUUCUUUACUAGUUUAGUUAUUUGGAAAGAUGAAGAAAAAUAUUGGGAAUGUAUAAUUGAUGGUAUUGAUGAUUAACUAAUAGGAUGCAUGUAACAAGGAAAGGGAGGAGAUUGAAUUCUCAGGUUUCUAAUUAGAAUGUUCUGGUAGGUGGUGGAAUUAGUGACGUAGAGAAAAUUCUAAGAUGAAUAUACUGGAGUGAAAGAUACUACAUUAUUGAGGACAUUUGUUCUUGUAGUAUGGGAGGAACAUUUGAAUGGUUAGAGUACAGAGAGGAAUAUGCUGGUUGGGGCUUAGGACAGCUAUGACCUGGAGGCCCUCUGCCAGCAUGUGGUGAUGAAUACCACCAUCUUGUGGUGUAGGUGAGAUAGGGAGCAGAUGAGACAGUCUGGGGCUAAUGAGAAGGGCAAGUGGCAAUGUAGAGUUGGGCAAGUGAAAAGGAAUUCAUAAAGGAACAUCUAGAGAAGUAGGAUGGAACCUCAAGGGGAAAUGAGAAAAUGAAGCAGGUCAGUAGAGACAUUUCCAAGAAAUUAAUUGUGAAAGGAAUGAGCAACAUGGCAGGGCUAUGUAAGUGGAACUGAUUGAAGAGAGAGGAUGGGAACUUCUCUAUCCAGUUGCCUUUUAUAAAGGAAAGUAACAAACACUGUGGAUAAUUAUAUGGCAACAGGCUCAGCUCUUAGAAAAAAUACAACCUUGUUUAAAUCCAGCAUUCUGCACACUACACAUCAACACCCUUGCAGCUUAGCAUUGUUAGAGAAAAACACAGAAUUGUAGUGAUGGCUUUCAUUUUAGUCUCAAGUGGAAUCAUAAUUCAGCCCACUUACAUUCCUAACUUGAUUACUCUCCCUUUCUCUUCAAUGGCUAUUCAAUAUCUUCUUGUCCCUCAAAAACCCUGCAGUCCCUUCUCCUCCACCCUCAUACCAGGUGAUGAGCUGACUUCAUGUUUCACUGAAGAAAGAAAACAACUUGAGAGGAAUCUACACGAACCGCAGACCACACCUCCUUAUGGGUGUAUGUCCUCGGCCUUCAUCCUGGUUAUUCCAGAUGCAUAGCUCGGGCUCCCGUGCAGCUUCUUCGCUUCCUCUCAAGAUCCUAUCCCAUGUCAUCCAGAUCCAUCUCCAAGCUUCCCACAAUUUCUCUGACAAUCAAACACCCAUAAGGAUAAAACGUGCCAGCAUAAGCUGUUUCCUGAACCAACAUCUAUUCUGACUGUACUUUGCCAGCUGUCAACUAUUUCCAAUAUUAUCCAUGAAUAUGGCUGAAAUUUAUUUCUCUAACUCUACUUUGCCUCACUCUCAUUGCUCCUGCAAUGUAUGACUACUUAAAAUCUUCUCUCAUGCUCUCUGGUUUCUUUCUGGCAUACCUUUGCUUCUGCAGUGUCCUCUACCUGGAUAAUAUUUGUGUGGCACUCUGUGAGCCUACCUUCUGAAAUCAACCCCCAUUCCUGAUUCCUCACCAACUCCCAUACUGAGAGCUCAGUCAUUCAUGCAUUCAUUUUAGUGCACACAUGCUUGCCAAGCUCAUAGUAGGCAUCAGGCGUCAUGUGGGGUGCUGGUGAAACAGUUGUGAGCAAGACAAACACAAUUAAAUUCUUCCAAGAAAAAUUCCGGGCUCCCCACACUGGAAUAGGUUUUCUUUCUCUGAUAUCCCUUUAUAUUAUCUGAGUAUAUUUAUCCCUCAUCUACCUUAUGUAAUAUCAUUAUCUGUUCAUGUUUGAGUCCUAUUCAAUAGAUCUUGAGUGCUUUAAGCUGAGAACAUUCAUUAUUCAGCUUUGUUAGAAAAGAUGACCAUAUAAAAUUGCACAGUUUUUUUUUUUUUUUUGAUAGGCAGAGUGGACAGUGAGAGAGAGAGACAGAGAGAGAAAGGUCUUCCUUUGCCGUUGGUUCACCCUCCAAUGGCCGCCACUGCAGCCGGCGCACCGCGCUGAUCCGAUGGCAGGAGCCAGGAUCCAGGUGCUUUUCCUGGUCUCCCAUGGGGUGCAGGGCCCAAGCACCUGGGCCAUCCUCCACUGCACUCCCUGGCCAUAGCAGAGAGCUGGCCUGGAAGAGGGGCAACCGGGACAGAAUCCGGCGCCCCGACCGGGACUAGAACCCGGUGUGCCGGCGCCGCAAGGCGGAGGAUUAGCCUAUUGAGCCACGGCGCCGGCUUAAAAUUGCACAGUUUUAACCAUCAACAGUAUAAACCUUUUAGAAAGUAAGAACUUUAAUGAAUGGGAAUUUAAAAAUAUGUAUCUUACAAGAGCAAAGCUUUUAAUAUAUCUCGUCUUAUAGUUGCCAAAUUUCUGGUAUUUUCUAUGGCAAUUCUAAUUCAAGCCAUUCUCAUCUCUUCCAUCAUCAGAAUAUGGAACUUAUAUAGUAUAUUGAUUUUCAUUUCUGAAAACAUGGUUCUGUCUCAUAUAUCCCAACUUCUUCUGAGGGACUUCACAAAUCUUCCCAUUGUUUAAAUGUUACUUUUUCUGGCCCAUGCUUGAUAUUAAUCAGUUUUUUAAAUACUUUAGACUUCAGUUCCUUAAGUAUAAAAAUGGGGAUGGCAAUGCUAACUUCAAAGUUAACAGUGAGUAUUAAAUAGUGUGUAAAGCAUCAGUCUUACUACCUGGCACACAAGUAUUGUUAAAUAAAUGUUUAGUUCCUUCCUGCAUGCUCAGCAGUUAAAUUACUUUUCCAAAACAUAUUAAACCAAUCAGUAAGUUAUUUGCAUGUAUUUACUUUGGCUGGCACUGCAAAAACAGUGGAUACAGAUGAGCACAUUAAGGUCCUUACAGUCUUACUACCAAGACAGUUUAGAGGGCAAAUAAAUGCUGAUCUGGGUGGAAUUACAGAGAGUCCCAAACAGAAUUUAGAAGAGAAAUAAGAACCAGUGAGAUUUCUCUGCAUUAGGAAAACAUGGUACUAGAAUUCAAUGGAAAGCUAUGUGAUAGCACUCCAGGAAAAGAAUGGCUUUCAUUUCAUGUUCCUCCUGAAAUAUUCAGCUAUGAUGGGAAGGAUGAUGAGACUCAGAUCAGGUCCUGAGAUCAAGAGUAAAUUGAGUGGCUCACUAGGCUAAUCCUCCGCCUUGCGGCGCCGGCACACUGGGUUCUAGUCCCGGUCGGGGCACCAGAUUCUGUCCCGGUUGCCCCUCUUCCAGGCCAGCUCUCUGCUGUGACCAGGGAGUGCAGUGGAGGAUGGCCCAGGUACUUGGGCCCUGCACCCCAUGGGAGAUCAGGAGAAGCACCUGGCUCCUGCCAUUGGAUCAGCGCGCCGGCUGCGGCAGCCAUUGGAGGGUGAACCAACAGCAAAGGAAGACCUUUCUCUCUCUGUCUCUCUCUCUCACUGUCCACUCUGCCUGUCAAAAAAAAAAAUGAGUAAAUUGAAAGUAUGCCACUGUAAAAAUUAAAAGAAAAAUAAGAAAGGAAGGAAGAGGAAAGGUGGGAGGGAGGGGAGACGUAGGGUAGGAAGUAUCAUUAUGCUGUUAAAACUGUAUACAUGAAAUAUAUGAAACCCGUUCUCUUUAUAUGAAUACAAAAUUAUAAAAAAAGAAUGCUUGAUUGAUUCUGGAAUGGGUUUCCAUAAGAGUGAGGCAGUCUAUUUGCUAAGUGUGCCCCAGAGCCUCACCGAAUGGUGGAAAAAGAAAACUGUUCUUAGCUGUCCCCAUCAGAGGUUCUUCCUUCUUUUUUUCACUUUUGAUUUGCCCUGAGUGACUUUUAAAUCUCCUCCCUGUCUGACAGGCCUUGCUGCACUCUGGAAGCUGGGCAAGCUCAUCACCACAGUUCUUAGAACUCAGGAAAGCUGAGAGUUCUGACUGGUGAAGAGCUAGGUCCCAUGAGUGUGUCCUGGCCUCUUGGGAAGCACCAUUGUAAAGUAUCUGACUACCCUUGUUCCAAACUCAUCGCAUUGUGAACCACAGUGGCAAAGAAUAUUACUCCGAAGAAGGUUUCUCAGUGGUCCCUUGGUGGAAUAAACUGGAUUAUGGGAGACAGGCCUAGAACAGGGAGUAUUCUGCCUUCUCCCGUCUUUCCUGGCCUUUGCCAUGGUCUCAGGAAGCCUUUGUGAGGAGCACUGGGAGGGACCGUAGGGUUACCUAGCUCUGAGCCAUUGCGGUAAGGGAAGAAUCUAAACAAGCCUUUUUAAACAGUUCUAGAAGAUUUUCUAUUUCGAUAUCUCUAAAAGACAUUUAUGGUGAGAAAGCCUAGCAGAAAAUGAGGUCACAGACCUUGUUGUAUGACUUCGCUAAGGAAUUAAUUGACUUGUGUAUGUGUGUCCUAUUGUAGGGUCUAUGACACAUCAGCUGCAGAGGGUACUUUGUCUCCUCUUAGAUGGCAAUUGGGAAACAACUUAUUCAACAUACUAUAAAGCAUCUAAUUGUGGCCUAUUACACAGCACUGUUCCUAAAGCAAACCCAUAAGCGGGAAUGGUCAUUCCCCCAAAAAUAGUAAAAGAAGAGGAAAAAGCAAAAGUGAAAUUGCCAUGCUAUGGGAAUUGACAGAAAAAAAUGUCUGAUGUGGCACCAGGAGGUAUGUUUGAGAAUGAGAAAGCACAAGUUUAGGGGGUGGAUAUUGGGGUAGGUUUACAUUCCAGACAGAGGAGCAGCUCAUGUGAGGAUGUGGGUGUUUGAUGGGGCCCCACUUGCCUGGAAAGCCUGGAGCUACAGCAGGGGCACUGUGAGAGAGGCAUAUUCCAAGGCACAGGCUGAUCAUAGAUAAUCAGAAAUCUAGAAGACAUGCCUGUUUUGUCAUAGUGGUAGACAACUCUGUUCUGUUCUGCUUGCCUCGCUGCAUUCCUCAUAUCAGCAGUGCUUUCAACAUUAUGACGACAGCUGCCUAGUAAUCACUGUCUUGUCUUUUAGUGACAGCAACCUAAUUUCCCCUGGAGGAUAAUCCGGUUCACACUCUCAUCCCAUGUGGUCUGAGCACAGCUGAACCCAUCUCCUGAUUCAGGAAGUAUGCUUGUGACCCAGAACCAGCCAAUCAGAGUGUGACAUUUUCUGACCGUUAUCCUGGGUUUACAAAUCUGCCUAUUUCUCAAACUGGAUUGUUUAAGUCCCAAUGCUAGGAGUCUUGCUAUGUUCAUGGAUCAAAGGGUUUGCCAUAAAUCAUACCACCCCCAUUCCACUGGGUAGGUGAACUGAAGUUGUAAGCCUGGAGCCUCUCUGAAUCGUGUUUGCCUUGACUUGAAGUACUGGCCUGAGAAGCUACCAAUGUUAAGGGCAACAAAGCUGACAGAGAAAGACAAUUAGGGAUACUUUUGGAGUACCUAGACCUAGCAAUGUUUGAAGCUACUUCAGCCCUCUGUUUUUCAGUAACAUAAAACAAUAAAUCUCUUUUGCAAUUAGAUGUGGAUUACUAGCACAUAAAGUGGCUUCUGAUUCCCUAACUCCCUAUCACUCCAAUGACUCACGGUGUCUUGUCGCAUUUGUUAAAUUGAUUUGCCUCAAGAACCUGAGUCUCAGAAAUCAUUAAGUGCUCCAAGGAGGACAAUUACUCAAAUAGGAAAUAUUGGCUCAUCAUGGCUCCAAGUAACCUUAACUGCUUUGACUUCCCAUUCUGCAUCUGCUUUUUAAUAAAUGUUUUCCAGAGACAUUCAUAAAGCAGGACAAUUGUCCAACUCAGAGGCUAAGGACUGAAGCUUAAAAUGACAAGGUUUCCUGAUGCAUUGCAUCAACAUCAUGGCAACUGUAGGUAUCUUGGUGCUUCUACUGUGCCCCAUUGGUUUUCUCUGGUCCUUAAUUUACCCUUUCUAAUUUCCUUGCCCUGCUUCCAAGAAAGACUGGUCUUGCUGGAGUACCUCGCCCACUGGCUGACAGUGGUUAUCACUCAAGACUGCUUAACCUCAGGAGCUAUAAAUGUGAAGAGUAUUCAAAAUCCAAUAGAUUUCAGUUCAAGUCGAGUUUCUCAAAUAUUCACCAUCUGACUUGGGACAAUAACAGCCUCGAUGAGCUUCAGUUUCCACCCCUGUGACAUGGAGCCCAUAAUCACUACAACCCAGGAGGUUUGUCAUUUGGAUUAAACACAAGUUAAACGGCAAUGACAAGUCACCAGGUUCAUUAUGCCAGUUUGUCAUAAUCUGAUUUCUACUUACUUUUGCAAUCUCUUCAUCAUCCUCUCUCCAGGCCCAUGAAAACUCAGUUCCAACCACAUGGACUGUCUCCACACCUGAGCCCCAUCAUUGUGACUGGAGGUAUUGUUCUCUUAACUGGAAUGUCCUUCACUCAUCUUCAAGACCCAGUCAAAUUUUAUUUCUUCUAUGAAUCCUCCUUUUACUAGAUUAAUUCCUACUCUUUGAUCUCCUAGAACAUUUAUGGUGGAAAGAUAUCAGUUUACUAUCCUGUAUUGGGCACUUGCUUUCUUUUGUAUCUUGUGUGAGGGUACUUCAAAAGUUUGUGAGAAAAUGGAAUUGAAAGAUAAACUUGCUCAAAAGAUAAACUUUUGAAAUCCACACAUAGUUUUUUUCAUAAUACACAUUUUAUAUGAACUUUUGGAAGACCUUUCAUAUCGCCAACUGAAUUUUGUCUAAACUUUGUCCCGUCCCCCAUCAUUGUCUUACACAUGAAGCUCAAUAAAUACUUGCUAAGUGCUUUAUUUUCCCUCAAUCAUGUGUUAUUUGGUAAGACUGAAAUUCUAUUAAGCAAAUUUAAAGAGAGAACCUAACUCCUCAGCUCCAUAACCCCCCACAAAAGGCUGUACAGCUUGAAUUAAAGCCUGUCUUCUGCUUUUGAAUUUGCAAUUGGAAACAUAUGGUGUUUUGGAAGGAAGCCAUUUUUUCCUUUUUUCCUUUUUUUCUCUCUAAAGAAACCUUUAAAACCUCACUAAAUAUAUCAAGAAACAGCAAUGAAAAUGUCAAGAAAUUAUAAUAUUGCUUAUUGCAAAACACACACACACACACACACACAUAUAUACCACUGCCGGUGUGUUUACAAAGUUCCAAGUUGAAAAAACAAGGGCUAAUUUUAGACUUUGGUUUUUUUCCUUCAAGUCAUAAUAAAAAAAGUAUAUAAACAUCAACUGAAACACCAGUGCACAAAACCUCUUAGUCAUACCCACCAGGCACUUUCAAAAACCAAUUUUCUUGAGAAAGGAUUCUAAUUCCUAACUCCCUGAAUCAUGAACCCUGCUGCCCUGAUGGACAGAAGGAACUGAAAGCUCUAGCACUGGAGGCCUGUGGUCCGGGCUGGGUGAGCUAGUCAAAAGCAGGGGCCAUGUCAUGUACUUGAAGUUUUUUUUUCUAACAAAUUCCCCAGCUUCUUACACAUUGUAGUUCUGAAGACACCUUCUCAGUCCUUAAUGGAGAACAGAGUGUACAACAACCCCCAGUUCUCACUGACAGUGAUGCCUUUUUUUUUUUUAACUUCCCAAUAAUCAUCGCUGCAAUCGGUUUUGAAUCAUGCACUGAAAUUUUGACUUCACUUGGGAAUUUCCCAACCAGUGAAAUUGAGUGCUAACAAAGCUCUGAUUUUCUACGCACUCUCUGAUAUUAAUAGCUCAGCUGGCAUUGCAGAAAACAGAGUGCUGGGGCGAGGGGGAACAGUUCUUGAGUAUCUCUUACUUUCUCCAGGAGAAAUUCCUGAAUCCUGGACUACCAGUGUCCCCGAAGCCGAGCUGCCUCCUCCACAAUCAUCUCAGAACACUGACAUCACCAGUGCCUGACCCUUUACUCCCUCCUUUCUCUGCUUCCUUGUAAACAUCAGAAAACAUCUUGAAGCCAAGGCAAACAAGCUUCAAAAAGAUGUAUGUCACAUGAUCACUGGCCCUUUAUAUCUCCACUGAAACAUGGCUUUGUAAACUGUAGGCACCGAGGCUUCAGUGAUAAGAGGGCUCCAGCACUAGUCAAACCAUCUGUCAAGAGCCAGUCGGAAUCUCAGGUUCAUUGUGAGCCCCUCCUUAACCGUUUUAGUCCUCUGGGAACCUCCCUUCCUUGCGGCCCUGUUGGAAAAUGCGUUGGUUACACCAGUUUUUGUUUUUCACCAUGAACUUUAUUUUUCAAAUAAAAUAAAAUUUUGCUUGCCAGCUUUUUUACUGCUGGUAUCUCUUCUAAUAUUAGUGCGUGGUGUUUAAGAGAACCCUGGAGUCAGGCAGCCUGGAUUCCGCUGUGGCUCUAUCCCUUCCUAGACAGGUGACAUUCAGGUUUCCUAACCUCUUUAUACCUCACUUUCCCUGUUGGUAAAAUGAAGAUAAUAAUUGCCUCUACCUCAUAGAAUAGAAUAAGUAUGAAGGAGUUCAUGGAUGUACAUUGCAUGGGACAGACCUGGGAGACAGUGAACACCUAAUAAUGUGAUAUGCUGACCCCUUCAAUAGAAAUCUAACAAAUAUCUAUUGAGCAUCUACUAAAUUUCAAGGAGCAACUUACAUGCUAGUAAUACAGGAGAAAGCAAGAUUGACAAGCUUACCUCUCAUGGAAUUUAAUGUCUAGACAGAGAUACGUGGAGUAAAUAAGCUAAAAAUAUAGUAAAACUUAGGAAACAGAACAAAAUAAGAUAGGUUAUGAUUUCAGCUAACUUCUCCUGAACUGCCUCAUCUAUAAAAUGGGUGGACUAAACCUUCCUGCGUGAGUGUUUAAUGAGGGUUAAAUGAGUUAUUAUAAGUGAAACAUUUAGUACAGUAACUGGUAGACUUCAUGUAAAUAAUCAUAUCUUCCAAAAUCUGUUUAUGCAAAUGUAAACAUCUGUUUGACCUAAAGAGGGAUUAAUUUCUAAAAUGUGCAUUUGAUAGCAAAUGUGAAUAUGUUUCCUUUUUGGCCUAACUCUGGGCAGGAAACAACUUUGUUAAGUUGGGCACGUUGUAAUUGUGGUAUAUCUGUAUAAACUUACUCAUAACAUGUUUUGUUUUCUUUGGUGGUUUAAAAAUAUUCAGAAGAAGAGGGCCUGACCCAUCAAAGAAGUUAGGUUACCAACUGCAAGUUACCAACUGAGACAAAUUUUGAGUGAGUGAUUCAACAGAAAGAAGACAUCAGGGACUACUACUACACACCUCCAUUAAGGGGCAGGCUUAAGAGGUAGAAACAGGGUUUCAAGGUGGCUUUGGAGAGAAAUUAGGAAUUUGUGUUCUGGGUAACCUGCUGUGAUUAGGGUGUGGAUAAGAAAUUUUCUUGUGGCCGGCUCUGUAGCAUAGUAGGUUAAGCUUCUGCCUGUAGCGCUGGCAUCCGGCAUGAGCACUGGUUUGGGUCCCGGCUUCUUCUCUUCUGAUCCAGCUCUCUGCUUGUUGCCUGGGAAAACAGUGCAAGAUGGCCCAUGUGAUUGGGCCCCUACACCCACGUGGGAGACCCAGAGUUGGAAUGUUUUGUAAAAUGCAGAUUUCUGGGUUCCACUCAGAACUCUGACAGUGGAGUUGGGGUCUGGCAAUCUAUUUUUCAUAAGCAUACUAACUAGCUUUUUAAAAGACACAUUAAAGUUUGAGAUCCAAAACAAUAGAAAUUGUCAGAUAUUAGAGUGAAUUGGAAAAAAAACUCAGCAGAAGAAAGUACAGGAGUAAGACAGCUUGGCAUAAUUGUUUCCUUGCUUCUAGACUUUAGAAGUUUAUUCAUCAUAGAUGUUCUCAGGUCAAUCCUUUAACUAGAGUGUGUUUAUAAUCUGUUUCAAAGAACGUAUUCCUUUUAGAUAUGUCCAUCUGUACCCUAGAACCUGAUGGAGUCUAUUCUAGUAUGGAUUGAAGGGAGUCACUAAAUGAGGAGGCUCCAAUUAAAGGCAGGAAUUUAAGGUUGGAAAGAGUUUAGCCCCAGUCUGACACAGAGAAAAGAGAGAAGGCUUUCCAUCUCCUAAUGGAAAACAAAUCAAAACAAAAACCAAGACACAAGAACAAGAACAAAGCAUCUCUUAAAAGCAGCUGCUGAAGGUACGUCCCCUUUGACUGGAAUCCCCCAAUUUCCCCAUGCCCUAGCCUUUCAGUUGCAAGAUGAAAAUGUUCUAGAGACUUGAUGUGCAGCAUGGGGAAUGUUAGUAAUGCAGUAUAGACUGGAACUUUUCUGAGAGUAGAUCUUAGGCGCUCUCCCCACCCUACCCCCAACACAAACAAAUGACAACUGUGAGGUGAUGGAUAUGUUAAUUUAUGGUAAACAUUUCACAGUAUAUAUAGAUGGUUGUGAAAGCAUCAUCUUGUGUAUCUUAAAUAUAUGCAAUUUUUAUCAAUUAUAUUUCAGUAAAGCUGGGGAGAAACAUUACUAAAAAUGGGUAAUAAAAAUCCAUCCACAUUCUUUAAAAAUAAUGAUUAAAAUCAUAAUAAUAAAAGUAGCUGCUAACAGGCAUACUUAAGGAUGACCCUGGACUUCCAUGUGUCUCUGUGAUCUUGAUUCUGAGAAAAGAGUAGGCAUUCUUCAUUAGCCCCUGUGUUUGCUGAGGCAGGGUUAAGUUCAGUCCUUCUUGGGCUCUGGUUCUGUGGUGGACAUGCAGAUGAACCACUCUUAUUCUUCCAUAGGAAUCACUGACUUACUCCUUCAACUGCUGAAAGUAUACCCGGCUGAGAGACCCAGCACCCCCUAGGGGGAUCAUCCCUGCCUCAAGAGAGCUGUCUUCCCAAAGUUAUGUCCUUCUCCAGAGCAGCUCACAGCCAAUGACGGAUCCAAGUGGGAACAUGGGCAUGGCCCCUUUGCCUUAUAACCAUAGACAUUUAUUUCUCACGUUCUGAAGGCUGGAAAAUCCAGAGCAAGGCACCAGGAGAUCCAGUUUUUUGUGAGGGCCUGCUUUCUGGUUUACAUACAGUACCUUCUGCCAUAUCCUCUCAAGACCACUCUUUGAGGCUCUUCUCUAAGAGAGCUAAUCCUAUUCCUGAAGACUUCAUCCUCAAGACCCAACCAUCUGACCAAGACUCCACUGUGUAACAUCAUCACACUGGUAAUGAAAUUUCCAUGUUCUUGUGAAGGAAAAAGAAGCUUUGUAAAAUGCCGACGGUUUUAACAUCCCGAAGUGAAUCUCAGAACUGCGUAUUGCUGUUGGCAAAGCAGAAGGAUGUGCUCAGUCACAAGAAAAUGGAGCAUUUUUUGCAUGAAAAAUUGAUCACCUGCUCAGUCCCCCUUUUCACUCUCCCCUUCACCCCAGCGUUGGACAGUCACGAUGUUGCAUGGAUGUUCUAAGAUUCUUUUUGAACAUUCUCUGUUUCAAGAACUUCCUUGAACCAUUCAUCAGGGGUGACUCAAGGAACACACCACCUGAGAAAUGACUCUCUAUGUGAAAAGGACCCAGAAAGAAUGUGUCAGGCAGAGAGAACUGGGAUCUAUGUCAUUUGUGAGAUAUGCUUCCCAAAAGCAUGGACUGUGACCAUCAGGGAGUUAAGCUUAGCUGCCUUGCCAUGAAUUGUCUCAUGCUGUUGGCAUCCCACUGACUUUCUAUCACAUUUUCCCUACACCAACCUUCAUGUCACUUUCUGUUCUGUAAAAAAAUGAAGGGGUUCUAUUGGAGGAGCUACAUGAUGCAUUCCAGGUUUAAAAGUCUAUGGGUCAUCCAUACUAACUUAAAUCCUUGAAAUUUCCUACUUUUUUAAGUACUUCCAAAUCACAGGUGAAUGGUGCCUGAAGUUGAAAACUAAGCUGAGUCAAUAUCCAUUGUAUCACAGCCUUCAGCUAUCUGAGGCCCCUAACUACAGGGAAGGAAAGCACACCCUCCAGAGUAUAUGAAACCUGGGAAAGCACAUGGUACCUAACCAAGAAGGGGCGUGAAGAACCCUGAAGAAAAGGCAGUGUCAUUGCUUAUAAGCAAAAAGGUCACUCAGAAAAUACCACAUAAAGAAGUGGACUAAUACUAACAUAUUUAAAGGUUCAUCAUAGCACAUCUCUUUUGAUAAUUGACCAAAAUGCUGCACAACUACCAGUAAAACUUCUCCCCUUGAUCAAGCCCAUUUCCUCUCAUGUAAUCAGCAAGAAGAGAGAAGCACAGAUUCAUCAGCGCACUUAUUCUAACCAUUCAGAAUUUCAGAGUUGAUAAAUGCAAUUUUCCUGGGGCUGUCGAUUUUCUGUAAUUUAAAUGUUAAGCCCUUUCUUCACACACAGCUAAAAUUCACUGCAUUCCCACUCGGCACAUUCUCACUCAUUUUGAUACUGUCAUCUUUCUGAUCUGUGACUAGCCAUUGCACUUAAUUAACCAAUGGAAAACAAGAGGACCUUUUCACACCCAGAAGCUAGAGUGUGAUGACUCCUGGAGAGAGGAAUUAAUCAGCACCUGAGUUCAGCCUAAUCAGCUGUUAGAGGAAGACCCAUCACUCUGAUGACCCCAAUGCUGCCACAAGGAGAGAUUAGAGAUUAUUACUAAUUUACAACUAAAUGGCUAACUGUGAAGUCACCAGGUUGUGCCUUCAGCCACAACCAUCCCUGACAAUGUUACAGGAAAAAAAAAAAAAAAAGACAUUCAAUUUCUCUUUACUUUUGGUAAAUACUGAUUGCAUGACUACAAUGUGCCAGGUGCUGCACCAAGCACCAGACAGAAAAUGAUGAAUAAAACAGAACCCCUGCGCUGGAUGAUAGGCUGUGAGGGAGACAGGGAGGAAGCAAGGGUCACAGAUAUGCAUGUGCGUGUACCAGAGGGUUAGCUCAAAGCAAGUUAGAUGGGGAGGGAAGGUCAGAAAGUAAUGACUCAGUCAAGGUCUGAAGGAGGAGGAGUUCGUUAAGCAAAACAGGAAGGGUUUUCCUAGAAGGUGAAACCACCUGUACAAAGGCCCUGUGGUGGUGUGAUAAUAAGAGACCAGUAAGGUCCACAGGCAGCAGGGAAAAGGAGAGUAGUUUAGAAUAAGGCUGAAAAUCUACGUAGGAACCAGACCUUGGUCAUGAGUAACAAGGAGCCGUUUAAAUGCUUCAGGAGAUAGGAAGCUAUCGGAAAACUGUAAGCUAAAAUAUAACUUAAUCAUGACCUUUUAAAACUCCAGAGUCCUAACGAUUUAUGAGUCUCCAGAAUACAACUUCCACCUCUUAGUGUGGCAUUAACAUCCUCUGUGCUCCCGCUACCGUCUCCUCUCCUGUGCUCUCCGUCUUGCCUCAGUAUAAAGUGGGCCCUGGAUCUUACCGUUGA